AUUGAACGCUGGCGGCAGGCCUUACACAUGCAAGUCGAACGGUAACAGGAAUAAGCUUGCUUCUUUGCUGACGAGUGGCGGACGGGUGAGUAAUGUCUGGGCAACUGCCUGAUGGAGGGGGGUAACUACUGUAAACGGUAGCUAAUACCGCAUAACGUCGCAAGACCAAAAAGGGGGACCUUCGGCGCUCGUGGCAUCGGAUGUGCCCAGAUGUGAUUAGCUAGUAGGUGGGGUAACGGCUCACCUAGCCGACGAUCCCUAGCUGGUCUGAGAGGAUGACCAGCCACACUGGAACUGAGACACGGUCCAGACUCCUACGGGAGGCAGCAGUGGGGAAUAUUGCACAAUGGGCGCAAGCCUGAUGCAGCCAUGCCGCGUGUAUGAAGAAGGCCUUCGGGUUGUAAAGUACUUUCAGCGGGGAGGAAGGGAGUAAAGUUAAUACCUUUGCUCAUUGACGUUACCCGCAGAAGAAGCACCGGCUAACUCCGUG
Molecule: ribosomal RNA, 490 nt
Filed under: uncultured bacterium
Lineage: Bacteria
Description: partial 16S ribosomal RNA
Rfam family: Bacterial small subunit ribosomal RNA
Source: RNAcentral